Molecule: ribosomal RNA, 1489 nt
Filed under: uncultured bacterium
Lineage: Bacteria
Description: 16S ribosomal RNA
Rfam family: Bacterial small subunit ribosomal RNA
Source: RNAcentral
UGGCUCAGGAUGAACGCUAGCGACAGGCCUAACACAUGCAAGUCGAGGGGCAUCGGGGCGAGGAGCAAUCCUUGCCGCCGGCGACCGGCGCACGGGUGAGUAACGCGUAUGCGACCUGCCCGUUGCAGGGGGAUAAUCGGGAGAAAUCCCGUCUAAUACCGCGUAAUGCCGCGGGGCUGCAUGGCCCUGCGGCCAAAGGGAGCGAUUCCGGCAACGGAUGGGCAUGCGUGACAUUAGCUAGUUGGCGGGGCAACGGCCCACCAAGGCGACGAUGUCUAGGGGUUCUGAGAGGAAGGUCCCCCACACUGGUACUGAGACACGGACCAGACUCCUACGGGAGGCAGCAGUGAGGAAUAUUGGUCAAUGGGCGCGAGCCUGAACCAGCCAAGUCGCGUGAGGGAUGACGGCCCUACGGGUUGUAAACCUCUUUUGUCGGGGAGCAAAUUCCGCCACGUGUGGCGGAGUCGAGAGUACCCGAAGAAAAAGCAUCGGCUAACUCCGUGCCAGCAGCCGCGGUAAUACGGAGGAUGCGAGCGUUAUCCGGAUUUAUUGGGUUUAAAGGGUGCGUAGGCGGACUGUCAAGUCAGCGGUAAAAUACGGAGGCUCAACCUCCGCCCGCCGUUGAAACUGACGGUCUUGAGUGGGCGAGAAGUAUGCGGAAUGCGUGGUGUAGCGGUGAAAUGCAUAGAUAUCACGCAGAACUCCGAUUGCGAAGGCAGCAUACCGGCGCCCGACUGACGCUGAAGCACGAAAGCGUGGGUAUCGAACAGGAUUAGAUACCCUGGUAGUCCACGCAGUAAACGAUGAAUACUAGCUGUCCGGGGCGAAUGAGCCCUGGGUGGCACAGCGAAAGCGUUAAGUAUUCCACCUGGGGAGUACGCCGGCAACGGUGAAACUCAAAGGAAUUGACGGGGGCCCGCACAAGCGGAGGAACAUGUGGUNUAAUUCGAUGAUACGCGAGGAACCUUACCCGGGCUCAAACGACACAGGAACGUACCUGAAAGGGUUCGGCUCUACGGAGCCUGUGUCGAGGUGCUGCAUGGUUGUCGUCAGCUCGUGCCGUGAGGUGUCGGCUUAAGUGCCAUAACGAGCGCAACCCCCAUCGACAGUUGCUAACAGGUCAGGCUGAGGACUCUGUCGAGACUGCCGGCGCAAGCUGCGAGGAAGGCGGGGAUGACGUCAAAUCAGCACGGCCCUUACGUCCGGGGCGACACACGUGUUACAAUGGCAGGUACAGCGGGAAGCCACCUGGCGACAGGGAGCGGAACCCGAAAGCCUGUCUCAGUUCGGAUUGGAGUCUGCAACCCGACUCCAUGAAGCUGGAUUCGCUAGUAAUCGCGCAUCAGCCACGGCGCGGUGAAUACGUUCCCGGGCCUUGUACACACCGCCCGUCAAGCCAUGGAAGCCGGGGGUGCCUGAAGUGCGCUGCCGCGAGGAGCGCCCUAGGGUAAAACCGGUGACUGGGGCUAAGUCGUAACAAGGUAACCGU